This 72-nucleotide transfer RNA is filed under the name Reclinomonas americana. RNAcentral describes it as "tRNA-Ile". It matches the Rfam family "tRNA". Rfam says of the family: Transfer RNA (tRNA) molecules are approximately 80 nucleotides in length. Their secondary structure includes four short double-helical elements and three loops (D, anti-codon, and T loops). Lineage: Eukaryota; Jakobea; Jakobida; Histionidae. The record is from RNAcentral.
GGGCUUGUAGUUAAGUGGUAAAACGCACUGCUCAUAACUGUGUAAUCGGAGGUUCGAAUCCUUUCAAGCUCA